Molecule: ribosomal RNA, 116 nt
Filed under: Pteropus alecto (black flying fox)
Lineage: Eukaryota; Metazoa; Chordata; Mammalia; Chiroptera; Pteropodidae
Source: RNAcentral
GUCUACGGCCAUACUAUCCUGAAUGAGCCCGAUUCCAUCUAAUCUCAGAAGCUAAGCAGGGUUGGGCCUCGUUAGUACUUGAAUAAGAGACCUAGGAAGACCAAGUGCUGUAGGUG